CGCUUGCGGGGUGGGGGACUGGGGGCUGGCUGGCUCCUGGGGACUUGGGAGAAGGCGCCGGAACAUGUGCAGCUGUGGCUCCAAACUUGUGUUGAUAAAGCCUCAAUUGCUAUUUUGAAAAGUGUCGAUCAACCAGAGAGGUGGCCUGCUGAAAGGUCCUGACGCAGAGAGACUUUGAUUACAGAAUAAAGGAUGGUGCGUAGAGUUCUUGCUCUGAGAAGACGACGUUUUUUCAGAGGAAACUCUUUCUCAGCCUUUUUUUCCCUGUCUGGACCCUGGUCUGUCCUCACCUGCCGACCAGCCUUCUGCUGCCCCCCCCAGGAGUCACAGACAUCCUGAGCAGUAUCCGAGGGCCGAGCAAAGGAAGUGAUUGCAGAGAGCAGCUGUGGGCACCGAGGCUGAAAGCAGGAAGCUGCGUCCUGACCUCUGGACCACCUGACCACCACUGGGUCUUGGUCCUUUCAUCUGUAAAAGAAGGUAAAAAAGAGCCCCUCCUUCACGCUCAAUGGG
RNAcentral lists this long non-coding RNA (510 nucleotides) under Dasypus novemcinctus (nine-banded armadillo). RNAcentral's name for it is "lncRNA (ENSDNOG00000051989.1)". Lineage: Eukaryota; Metazoa; Chordata; Mammalia; Cingulata; Dasypodidae. The record is from RNAcentral.